Molecule: long non-coding RNA, 2626 nt
Organism: Monodelphis domestica (gray short-tailed opossum)
Lineage: Eukaryota; Metazoa; Chordata; Mammalia; Didelphimorphia; Didelphidae
Source: Ensembl
AUGGGUUUGUUUGGAGUGGGAGGAGAACACAGGACUCAACCAUGCCCAGAUGCUCCCGGACAGCAAAAGGGGACAAGCCGUAGCCCCGCCCUCCCCAAUGGGGGUCUGAGUAGAGGCCCCCGCGGGGAGGAGGAGGACCGCAGUGUCCUUUGGGAAAUGGAGUCCAUGAGCCUGCCCAUCAGAGAAGCUAAAGGAGAGCGGCCGUGGGUCUCCCUAAGAGUAGACUACAUUUCCCAGAAGGUUCCAAGAUUCCAUUCCAGCUCGACCUGUGUGGAUGGUCUCAGAACCCAAGGCAUGAUGGGAAUCAUCUUUUCGGGGCUCAAGGAGCAGCCCGAGACGCCGAGUGGGCAAGAGAGAGUGACAGGACUACGCAAGCGCGAGACCCGGCUUCCCAUCUCCCCUCCUAGCUGGAGCCUGGUCCCCCCAGUGCCUGCUGAUGAGCGAGUGCGCGUGUGCGGCGACGCCUAUCCUAGCGCGGACCAAUGGUUGUGGUGGAGUCGCCGCCGCCUGUCUGACCUCCCUUCCCCUCGCCUCAUGGUGGCCGCCCAGCCCAGUUCGAGGGGUCCCCCAGAGCCUCGGGCAGCAAACUCCAGCAAGGCGGGAGGCUGCAAAGGGAGCGCAGGCGAGCGGCUUCCCGAGAAGGCCAGGCUGCUGCUGGGAAGCUCCCAUCCUUCCUGGCCGACCCACCAGGAGGCUCCUCCACAGCCGCUUCGGAGCACGGCCCCAUCCCUGGAGGGACUGGUGGUCCAGGCCGCCCCGCUAGCGUCUGAGGGCGCCUUUUCCCGGAUUCCGGCCAGCGCUCCGGGGAGGACGAGCGCGUCACAUCCAUCGCGGGACGCAGCUUGGGCAGAGGAAGUGAAGACCACCUUAUGGCAGAUGAGGAGGAAAUGACUUCCAGCUUCCUGAGACCUAGGCUUAAGGAUUGCUGUGUGAUCACCUGUACACAGAGCCACAGAUGGCCAGAGAUUUGAGAUCAGGUUGAGGCUUCUCUAGUCCAGCACAUACUUUUCACUACCACUUGCUGCUGCUGGAGGUGAACAGAGAUCCCCUUCUCCCCACUCUCAAGUUCUUGCAUAACUAUCAGAAUCUCAAGCCACAUGUUUAAAAGAGAGGAGAACCUUCUUGUAGUUUUGUAUCACUGCUAUUUCCAGCAUAGAUGUAAUAUGUUGUGGUGGAGAGAAAUCUGAUCUCAUAGCCAGAAAGACCUGGGUUUGAGUCCUGACACUGAAUAUGUUCACUCAGAAAUAUGUUCACUCUUAACCUUUCAGGGUUCUAGGGAACUCUCUAGACUAAGCUGUCUCAAAGUAAACUCCCUUUACCCAGCUGCAUUGGUAGAGGGAGUUUCCUCCCUUAGCGUUCUUGAUGCCAAUUAAAUCAGAGAUCAGUCCCUAUCCCUAUUCAGUCAUUUCCAAAGAUAGCCCUCCUCCUCCACUUCCCAUGGAGAUAUUUCUUGUUAUUUAAGAAAAAGUAGAAAAGAUAGGGGGAAAGAGGAAAAUUCCAUUCAAAAUAACUAUAUUUGCAUAUAAUUUCUGGGAGUAAAUCUACCAUGACAGACAUCCAAAGGAAGAUAAUGAGAUACUCUGUCCAGCUCCAAAGAGAGGGCUGAUGGGCUCAUAGUACAGAUUGAAGGACUUUUUCUUUUCUUUUUCUUCUUUCUUUUUUUAUGGAUGAAGCAAAUGUGGGGAUUUGUUUUGCAUGACUUUACUUAUCUGCAAUAGACUUUGUUUUUCUUGACUUCCCAAUGGAUGGAGGGGAGGGAGAGCAUUUGGAACUGAAAAUAGUACUGAAUUUUAAACUAAAAAUUUUAAAAUGAAGCUUCUACUCCCCAAAUGGCUUCUAACUCUUCUUCAUUCCAUUUCCAGCAUUUUAGGAAGUUAUUUUUAAGACUUCAGAAAUAUAUUGGGCACAUUCCUUUUUGCUUCACAACUGGGGGAAAGCAAACCAAGCUUCUGCAAGUGCUCACUCAGACGCAUCAACCUGUAUGUGCUUAGAUUCCGGGUCUUUUUUCAGUGAUUUUCUAUUGUUCUGUCCUGCAGAGUAUAAUUCUUGUUUUCAGUGAGUGUAUUCUUUUCUUUUCCUGUAAAUUUUUUUUUCAAACAGUAAAAACCCACCGUCUCACCCUAACACCCCAGUGCCCCUCCCAAUUGAGAAUGAAGGGAAAACAAAACUUCAUCAUAAGUCAAGCAACAAAUCUCUGCACUGGCUAUAUCAAAAAAAAAUGCCUUCCUAUUCUGCAUUCUGAGGUCCUAAGUUCUUCUCCUCUCCUUCAGGAGGUAGGCAACAUGUUCUAUCAUUAGCCCCCUAAAAUCAGGUGGUUGUUGCUCUGAUCAGAGUUCCCAGACAUGUAGUUGUUCAGUCAUUUCAGUUGUAUCUGGCUCUUUGUGACCCCAUUGGGGGUUUUCUUGGCAAAGAUACUAGAGUGGUUUGCCAUUUCCUUCUCCAGCUCAUUUUAGAUGAGGAACGGAGCACCAUAGGGUUAAAUGACUUGCCCAGAGUCACAUAGCUAGUAAAUGUCUGAGGCUGAAUUUUAACUCAGGUCUUUCUGACUCUAGGCCUGGCACUCUAUCAACUGCACUGCUGCCUAGCACAUAGUAGGUGCUUAAUAAAUUUUAUUGACUUGGUGACA